Molecule: transfer RNA, 63 nt
Filed under: Ergaula capucina
Lineage: Eukaryota; Metazoa; Arthropoda; Insecta; Blattodea; Corydiidae
Description: tRNA-His
Source: RNAcentral
ACUCAAAUAGUUUAAUAAAAAUGUUGAUUUGUGGUAUCAGAGUUGUAUAAUGUACUUUGGGUU